Choloepus didactylus (southern two-toed sloth) is the source of this 2674-nucleotide RNA transcript. It is a transcript of the gene named sushi domain containing 4, with no coding region annotated. NCBI's taxonomy places the organism in Eukaryota, Metazoa, Chordata, Mammalia, Pilosa, Megalonychidae. The transcript has 10 exons. The record is from RefSeq and is a predicted model, not a curated record.
GCGCGCGGCCGGGCUGCUGUCCUCCCCCUGCACCCGCCGGCUCCCGGGAGCCUGGCGAGGGAGAGCGCGGGCGGGGGGAGCUGGAGCCGGGCGCCGCUGCUGCCGCCGCCGCCGCCGAGGCUUUCGUCUCGCUCGCUAGCGCAGCGGCGGCAGCAGAGGUCGCGCACAGAUGCGGGUUAGACUGACGGGAGGAGGAGGCGGAGGAGGGAAGGAAGCUGCAUGCAUGAAACCCACAGACUCUUGCAAGCCGGAUGCCCUCUGUGGAUGAAAGAUGUAUCAUGGAAUGAACCCGAGCAAUGGAGAUGGAUUUUUAGAGCAGCAGCAGCAGCCUCAGUCCCCCCAGAGACUCUUGGCCGUGAUCCUGUGGUUUCAGCUGGCGCUUUGCUUCGGCCCUGCACAGCUCACGGGCGGGUUCGAUGACCUUCACGUGUGUGCUGACCCAGGCGUCCCUGAGAAUGGCUUCCGGACCCCCAGCGGAGGGGUUUUCUUUGAAAGCUCAGUAACCCGAUUUCACUGUCAAGAUGGAUUCAAGCUGCAGGGCUCUACGAAAAGACUUUGCAUGAAACAUCUUAAUGGAACCCUAGGGUGGAUCCCAAGUGAUAAACCCAUCUGCGUGCAAGAAGAUUGCCGUAUCCCUCAAAUUGAAGAUGCUGAGAUUCAUAACAAGACAUACAGACAUGGAGAUAAGUUAAUCAUCACCUGCCAUGAAGGAUUCCAGAUCCGCUACCCAGACCUGUACAACAUGGUUUCAUUAUGUCGUGAUGAUGGAACGUGGGACAAUCUGCCCAUCUGUCAAGGCUGCCUGAGACCAUUAGCCUCUUCUAAUGGCUAUGUGAACAUCUCUGAGUUCCAGACCUCCUUCCCAGUGGGAACUGUGAUCUCCUACCACUGCUUCCCUGGAUUUAAACUAGACGGGUCAGAGUAUCUGGAGUGCUUACACAGCCUCAUCUGGUCGUCCAGCCCACCCCGGUGCCUUGCCCUGGAAGCCCAAGUCUGUCCACUGCCUCCAAUGGUGAGUCAUGGAGAUUUCAUCUGCCAUCCGCGGCCUUGUGAGCGCUACAGCCACGGGACCGUGGUCGAGUUCUACUGUGACCCCGGCUACAGCCUCACCAGUGACUACAAGUAUAUCACCUGCCAGUACGGGGAGUGGUUCCCUUCCUACCAAGUCUACUGCAUCAAGUCGGAGCAAACGUGGCCCAGCACCCACGAGACCCUCCUGACCACGUGGAAGAUCGUGGCAUUCACGGCGACCAGUGUGCUGCUGGUGCUGCUGCUCGUCAUCCUGGCCAGGAUGUUCCAGACCAAGUUCAAGGCUCACUUCCCUCCCAGGGGACCUCCCAGGAGCUCCAGCAGUGACCCCGACUUCGUGGUGGUGGACGGCGUGCCCGUCAUGCUUCCGUCCUACGACGAGGCUGUGAGCGGUGGGCUGAGUGCCUUAGGCCCUGGGUACCUGGCCUCCAUGGGCCAGGGCUGCCCCUUACCUGUGGACGACCAGAGCCCCCCAGCAUACCCCGGCUCAGGGGACACGGACACGGGCCCCGGGGAGUCAGAAACCUGUGACAGCAUCUCAGGCUCUUCCGAACUACUCCAGAGUCUUUAUUCACCUCCUGUCUGCCAAGGGGGGCCCCACCCCACUUCUGACAAUGCUGACUCAAUCACUAGCACAGCGGGGGAGGUGGCAUCCACCAGCCCAGGCAUCGACAUCGCAGAUGAGAUCCCUCUAAUGGAAGAAGAUUCUUAACCGGCCCAAGUGCCCAUUAGUCUGUUGCCCCUUUGGGGAGGCCAUAGAAGGACAGGAUUUAGAGGGACGGGGGAGUUUUAAAUUUAUCUACCUGGGGACAGUGAUGCACAGUGUACAUCUCAGAUUCAGCAGUGAGGCUGACAAACUGCAGUGGCAAUGCUUUUAAAGGAGACUCAAGGAUCUUCCAAGACCAAUGAGGAAGAAGGGGAAGUGGGGAUCUGGAUUAAGGUGUUAAAUGUGUCUCCAUGCUGCAGAAUAUGGGACAGUUCCACACCCCUCCCUCUGAGCUACACUUCCCAUUGAACUAUGUUAUCAGCUUUACCUGCCUCCUCCAAAAGCAUGUCACAUUAUGUAAAUUUGCUUCUAAAAUCUGCUUUAAACUGUCCCUGGACUCCAAGUGAGGACAGAUCAACCCCUGCGAAGGUCUGUGCCAAGCUGCUGGAGGAGUAGCAAAGCCCCCUUGUCCCCUCAGGAAGGAGCAGGCCCCAAAGGGAAGGUUCCAUGUAACUUUUUGGACAAUCUUCCUUGAUCUGGACAACUCUACUCAAAAGCAAGACUUUAUCGGGGUGUGGAAGUUCCAGCAGAAAAGGAAAGACUCAGGAAGGCUCUCCUUCCUGGAAAUUUCUUCAAAAAGUAGAGUUCAUGUACUCUGUGCCUCCCUUGGCGAAGAAUCUUCAGUAUUUGUAUUCACGGCCUGUUACACUGAGCCAUGGCAUUGGAUAAAUCCCAUUACUUUACAGAUGGUCAGAAUGUGUUAACAUUCUUCUCAUGGUGGAGAAAGUAACCAAGUCUGCAGCCACCUCAGAGCCUCGCCUGCAAGUAUUGAUGAAGAAUUUGUGUUUCAUUAGAGUGAGCUUAUUUGGUGGUCAAGAAUCGUCAUCUUUUCAUGAUACUGACUUUUUCUUCUUUUAAAAACUUUGGGAGUCCUUCCAG